UACGUAGGUGGCAAGCGUUAUCCGGAAUUAUUGGGCGUAAAGAGCGCGCAGGUGGUUGAUUAAGUCUGAUGUGAAAGCCCACGGCUUAACCGUGGAGGGUCAUUGGAAACUGGUCGACUUGAGUGCAGAAGAGAGAAGUGGAAUUCCAUGUGUAGCGGUGAAAUGCGUAGAGAUAUGGAGGAACACCAGUGGCGAAGGCGGCUUCCUGGACUGUAACUGACACUGAGGCACGAAAGCGUGGGGAGCAAACAGGAUUAGA
Molecule: ribosomal RNA, 259 nt
Filed under: uncultured prokaryote
Description: partial 16S ribosomal RNA
Rfam family: Bacterial small subunit ribosomal RNA
Source: RNAcentral